Molecule: ribosomal RNA, 256 nt
Filed under: uncultured bacterium
Lineage: Bacteria
Description: partial 16S ribosomal RNA
Rfam family: Bacterial small subunit ribosomal RNA
Source: RNAcentral
GACGUAGGGCGCGAGCGUUGUCCGGAUUUAUUGGGCGUAAAGAGCUCGUAGGCGGUUUGUCGCGUCUGCUGUGAAAACCUAAGGCUCAACCUUGGGCUUGCAGUGGGUACGGGCAGACUAGAGUGCGGUAGGGGGUGACUGGAAUUCCUGGUGUAGCGGUGGAAUGCGCAGAUAUCAGGAGGAACACCGAUGGCGAAGGCAGGUCACUGGGCCGCAACUGACGCUGGAGGAGCGGAAAGCAUGGGGAGCGAACAGG